RNAcentral lists this long non-coding RNA (349 nucleotides) under Equus asinus (donkey). RNAcentral's name for it is "lncRNA (ENSEASG00005035405.1)". Lineage: Eukaryota; Metazoa; Chordata; Mammalia; Perissodactyla; Equidae. The record is from RNAcentral.
ACCCACAACAAAGAUCAGCCCAAAUGGCAAUAGUAUUAAGGCUGAGAAACCUUGGAUUAGAAACCUGGAAGGAUAACCAGGGGAAGAGGAGGCAACCCUGAGAUUGCAAGAAUUGCAAGAAGCCACUGUUACCUCCAGGGCCAGCAGCGAAAGCCUAAUUUGUGCGAGAGUCUCUGCUAGACAUGAGUCCACGCCAGUGCAAGAGUCUGCAGUCCCAGCCUCCAAGAUGCUUACCCUCCAGAGAUGGAAAGAGACAUGUCGACAGCUCUUGACCAAUGAUAUAGGACUGAAAAUAGUAGGAUCUACUGUUUGUGCCAUUACAGGGGGGCCCACUACCUAAGGCUUUUUG